UACGUAGGGUGCAAGCGUUGUCCGGAAUUAUUGGGCGUAAAGAGCUCGUAGGCGGUGUGUCGCGUCGGCCGUGAAAACCUGCAGCUUAACUGUGGGCUUGCGGUCGAUACGGGCAUCACUGGAGUUCGGCAGGGGAGACUGGAAUUCCUGGUGUAGCGGUGAAAUGCGCAGAUAUCAGGAGGAACACCGGUGGCGAAGGCGGAUCUCUGGGCCGAUACUGACGCUGAGGAGCGAAAGCGUGGGGAGCGAACAGG
RNAcentral lists this ribosomal RNA (254 nucleotides) under uncultured bacterium. Its description in RNAcentral is "partial 16S ribosomal RNA". It matches the Rfam family "Bacterial small subunit ribosomal RNA", at positions 524 to 776 of the family's 1533-position model. The record is from RNAcentral.